Molecule: ribosomal RNA, 1556 nt
Filed under: Salmonella enterica subsp. enterica serovar Mbandaka
Lineage: Bacteria; Pseudomonadati; Pseudomonadota; Gammaproteobacteria; Enterobacterales; Enterobacteriaceae
Description: bacterial SSU rRNA
Rfam family: Bacterial small subunit ribosomal RNA
Source: RNAcentral
UUAAAUUGAAGAGUUUGAUCAUGGCUCAGAUUGAACGCUGGCGGCAGGCCUAACACAUGCAAGUCGAACGGUAACAGGAAGCAGCUUGCUGCUUCGCUGACGAGUGGCGGACGGGUGAGUAAUGUCUGGGAAACUGCCUGAUGGAGGGGGAUAACUACUGGAAACGGUGGCUAAUACCGCAUAACGUCGCAAGACCAAAGAGGGGGACCUUCGGGCCUCUUGCCAUCAGAUGUGCCCAGAUGGGAUUAGCUUGUUGGUGAGGUAACGGCUCACCAAGGCGACGAUCCCUAGCUGGUCUGAGAGGAUGACCAGCCACACUGGAACUGAGACACGGUCCAGACUCCUACGGGAGGCAGCAGUGGGGAAUAUUGCACAAUGGGCGCAAGCCUGAUGCAGCCAUGCCGCGUGUAUGAAGAAGGCCUUCGGGUUGUAAAGUACUUUCAGCGGGGAGGAAGGUGUUGUGGUUAAUAACCACAGCAAUUGACGUUACCCGCAGAAGAAGCACCGGCUAACUCCGUGCCAGCAGCCGCGGUAAUACGGAGGGUGCAAGCGUUAAUCGGAAUUACUGGGCGUAAAGCGCACGCAGGCGGUCUGUCAAGUCGGAUGUGAAAUCCCCGGGCUCAACCUGGGAACUGCAUUCGAAACUGGCAGGCUUGAGUCUUGUAGAGGGGGGUAGAAUUCCAGGUGUAGCGGUGAAAUGCGUAGAGAUCUGGAGGAAUACCGGUGGCGAAGGCGGCCCCCUGGACAAAGACUGACGCUCAGGUGCGAAAGCGUGGGGAGCAAACAGGAUUAGAUACCCUGGUAGUCCACGCCGUAAACGAUGUCUACUUGGAGGUUGUGCCCUUGAGGCGUGGCUUCCGGAGCUAACGCGUUAAGUAGACCGCCUGGGGAGUACGGCCGCAAGGUUAAAACUCAAAUGAAUUGACGGGGGCCCGCACAAGCGGUGGAGCAUGUGGUUUAAUUCGAUGCAACGCGAAGAACCUUACCUGGUCUUGACAUCCACAGAAUUCUGCAGAGAUGCGGAAGUGCCUUCGGGAACUGUGAGACAGGUGCUGCAUGGCUGUCGUCAGCUCGUGUUGUGAAAUGUUGGGUUAAGUCCCGCAACGAGCGCAACCCUUAUCCUUUGUUGCCAGCGGUCCGGCCGGGAACUCAAAGGAGACUGCCAGUGAUAAACUGGAGGAAGGUGGGGAUGACGUCAAGUCAUCAUGGCCCUUACGACCAGGGCUACACACGUGCUACAAUGGCGCAUACAAAGAGAAGCGACCUCGCGAGAGCAAGCGGACCUCAUAAAGUGCGUCGUAGUCCGGAUUGGAGUCUGCAACUCGACUCCAUGAAGUCGGAAUCGCUAGUAAUCGUGGAUCAGAAUGCCACGGUGAAUACGUUCCCGGGCCUUGUACACACCGCCCGUCACACCAUGGGAGUGGGUUGCAAAAGAAGUAGGUAGCUUAACCUUCGGGAGGGCGCUUACCACUUUGUGAUUCAUGACUGGGGUGAAGUCGUAACAAGGUAACCGUAGGGGAACCUGCGGUUGGAUCACCUCCUUACCUUAAAGAAGC